This is a long non-coding RNA of Ictidomys tridecemlineatus (thirteen-lined ground squirrel), 2517 nucleotides long. RefSeq lists it as uncharacterized. The record is from RefSeq and is a predicted model, not a curated record. NCBI's taxonomy places the organism in Eukaryota, Metazoa, Chordata, Mammalia, Rodentia, Sciuridae.
CGCGCCGCGACUACAUGUCCCAGGAGGCGCCGCGCGCGGCUCUGCUUCCGGCCGGGCUCUGCCGACUUCCUGCCGGCUGGGGCUGCCUGCACCGGGACGGAAACCCGGAGACCGCUCCUCGCUCGUCAGAGACCCUGUGUGCGCCCGGCUUCCGCACAUGCGCGAAGGCCGCCUGCGACCCCCUGCGUCCCCCGGCGUCCCUCUGCGUCCGGUGGCCGCACGGCGGGCGCUCUUCUGGUGGAGGGGUGGGUGGUGGAACGGUGGAUGCUAGGUGCCCGCAAAGGUGGAGGCCAAGGGCUCAGGCGUGGCAGGCGGGCCCGAGCACGAGGAGCUCCGCCGGGGCUCGCAAAGGACGGGCGUGGCGCGAAUGGGGAGAGGGGAGAGGCGGCCGGCGCUUCGCUGUGCGGUGCCCCGCGAACUGGCGGGCGCUGAGAGGACAGGUUAUCUGCAGACGGAGUCCUCUUACUUCUUCGCUCUGAAAGCACUUUUUAAGUCCCCAUGCUAUGCUAGGCACUGCGCUAAGCCCUGGGGAUCGGCUCUACCCGACAGACAGGCCCCUGCCUUCGGGGGACGCAGACGUUAACCACAGCAAUCGGCGGCCAGCGGGCACACUGCUGGAGACGGCUUCUAGUGACCUCUGCCUCCCGCCGCCCCGGGGAUGCCCGUGUCCUCCCCUGCCCUGAGAGCAAGCCGGCGGCGAGUGAGCUGGGUUGGGUACUAAUCGCCGUGAGUCCCGACAUGCCACGAGGCACCUCGGGGCGCCCCAGCGAGGGCUUGGCUCUGGAGUAGAUGCCGGCAGGGAGGGGGGAUAAUUCGAUAAUUGGACAACUGUAUACAUCUUACCUGCCAGAAGAGGAUACUAAACUGACGCUAAAGCUGUAAUUGGUAAAGAAGUUCAGCCCCUGGAAUUAGCCUGUUGGGGGUAUUUAGUCAUCUUUUGUGGUUUGGAAAAUGUUAAGGUUUUGUCUGUGUUCACACGUGAUUUUGAAGUAGUCUUGCUUUUGUCUUGAUCUUCCAUGAUUACAGAAUGGCCUUAUCUGAGGUUGAUGUUCCGUGAAAUUGUUUAUGUUCUAUAGGAGAACACAAGGCCUCUCUGUAAGGGCUAGGCUAUUGUCUAGUACCAUUACAACCCAACCCAUUUACCAGGCCAGCUCCCAAUGUCAGAGACAUUUGCUUUCCUGUUUAUCAAGCGUUUCUAGAUGACCUAGAAAUCUUUGCCUUUUUAAGGACAGAGCUAUUACAGUAAUUUGUAUACACUCAGGAUGCAGUGUAAGUUCCCUGCAGGUAGAAUUUGACAUUUCAUAAUCUUUGGUGCUUUUCACCAAGAGAAUUGAAAGAAAAGCAAUGGGAAGAAAGAGCCCAGAAUUGGAAGGUUAUUGCCAUUAACUUGCUGUAUGAAUUUCAUGAAGUAAUUUUCCCUCUCUGGACCUUGGGACAUUAAGUAGUAAAACAAGGAGGUUGAGAUAAAUGGUCUUCAUUUCAGUUACUUAUUGCAAUAUAACAAACCGCCCCAAGACUUAGUAGCUUAGGUGCAUUGGUCUAUUUUUUACAAUUGUGUGGGCCCACAUGGCAUAAGCUGAGAUUACACAUGGGCUACAGUCAGCUGGAAUCUCCUUCAAAAUGACUUCUCAUCCUCUUGUGCCUCUCUUUUCCACAAGGUUUCUUAUCACUCAAGCUUCUGCAUGGUGGUUAGGAAGAGGACAAGCCCCAAUGAACAAAUGCUUGAAAAGCCUCUGGUUGUACCACACUUUCUAAUGCCCCAUUGGCCAAAGCAAGUCAUGAAACCAAGUCCACAGUCAGUGUGGAAAGGUUCUCCACAGGGACGUGAGUGCAGAGAGGCUUGGUUCAUUGGGCUCCACCAAUGGAACAGCCAACCCAAACUGCAAAGGUCCCAGCACCUGCCACAGGACAUAGCACAGCAGGGACCGGCAGGAGUCCUGUGCUGUGCUGAAUACGAGCACCCUCUCCAUGUUGCAAGGGAUUGCACCCAGGGCCUUGCAUAUGCUGGCAAGCGCUCCACCACUGAGCCACACCCCAGUCCUGCCACUGUCUUCUUUACAUCAAGUCUGUCCUCCGUGGUUUCCUAUGUUGUCACCACUCUGUUAUUAUUCUGUAUCUGUAUCCUAGUCUUUUUUCUGCUGCUGUAACAAUACCUGAGACUAAGAGGUGUGUUUAGUUCAUGGUUCUGAAGUCCAACAGGAUGGCACUGGCAUCUGCUUGGCAUCUGAUGAAGGCCUUUCCCUAGGUCAUGACAUGACAGGGUGUCACAUGGAAAGCCACUCCCUUGUACCCCAUAUCUCAAUCCAUCCAUGAGGGCACAGCCCUCAUGACCAUGUCACUCUUAACAGUCCACCUCUUAACACCAUGCAAUGGGGAUUAAAUUUCAACUUGAAUUUUGGUGGGGACAUUUAAAUCCUAGCUAUCCGUAUGCUUCUCUUACUUUAAUUUUGUACCAAAUCAAUAUAGAUAUUUGUGUUUGCCAUCCUGUCAUUAGAACUGUAAUAGAGAUUGACUCAA